RNAcentral lists this long non-coding RNA (1408 nucleotides) under Pogona vitticeps (central bearded dragon). RNAcentral's name for it is "lncRNA (ENSPVIG00000014420.1)". The record is from RNAcentral. Lineage: Eukaryota; Metazoa; Chordata; Lepidosauria; Squamata; Agamidae.
CUACAUUCAAUAUGCCAGCAAGUUUGGAAAACUCAACAGUGGCCAGUGUGAAAUGAGUGCAAUUGUACAGGAGGUGGAGCGUUCUUUGGCACUGCCCUUCUUUGGGAUUGGGAUGUUGACUGAUCUUUUGCAGUCCUCUGGCCACAAUUUCUACAUUUUCUCUGCAUAAUUCCCAGCUCUGUGUUGUUCAUCCUAGAUGAAGACCUGUAUGAGGUUGACAGCUUGCUUCUGUUGGUGAUUUUUUAAUGGUUUGCUGAUGGAUACAAUAGUAUAUAAUAAAUCAAUAGAUCAUUCUACAAGGUGGUGUUGGGACUAUUCCUGUUGAUUUAGGGAUGAUGGGAGUUGUUAUCCAACUCAUUGGAAAGCUGUCAGCUUGUGGAAGGCUCACUUGAAGUUAUGAUUCAAUCUCACGUUUGUCAGGGUUGCUAUAUGUACUUUCAAGGUUUGGUCCAUCCACAGUGGUUUUCACUCAGCAGGCUGGCAUAGCAACAGAACAGACCCCACUGCUUAGCUUUCUGAUGUCAUCCUUCCAUAGACUUCAUCUGUGGGAGGAGUCAGAAUGGUUUCCUAGCAAUAAUGCCUAGUGUUAGAACUGUCAAUUACUAGACAAACCAGGCUAAAGGAGUGUCAAGGGAUACUUACUGAGGCCAAUGUAAUUCUGUCAUCCCAAAUAAGGAUUCUCAAGCAGAGUUGCAUUCACCACAUGUCUGAGAAAUGAUGAAGAGGAACUGAAGAACGGGAAUAAAAGAUGAAUGGAAGAACUGCAGUAUUUGUGCCAGAGGAGAAACAGUCAGAAUAUUCAGAGAGGCAUGACUUGGCUGUCUCAGAGUCAGAACUGGCACAGAUGGAAAUUAUGAUUUGCAGAUGAAAAACCAGCAGAGAAGAAAAGACUAAGAUGCUCAUCCUUUCUCACCAUACAGUCUGCAGGCAGAAGCUUUUCUCUUUCCCAAACAGUUAAAACUCUGUUUGGACAUGACACAAACUUCGAAGCCCCUGACAUUGGAAUUGUUCUUCCAACACUUCAGGAAACAUGUAAGAAAUGACAUACCACUAAUAUACAUCUUAAAGGAUGAGAAAACGGGAACAAUUGUCCUAGAAGUAUAUUUCCUGCAUUAUUGAUUCUCCCUUCAUCCUCACUUUUCUUUUCUGUCCACAAUUCUUCAGGAUCUAGUUGAUCCUUCAGAUUCCUUUAUUUUUUUCAUGUGCAUUGACAGUAAUAUCUGAGUCCCCCCCCCACAAGACAGUUAAAGUUACCAACCUUAUUGUCUACACAGGGGUUCUGUGUCUCUAAAAGCAGUGUAAGAAUGAAGCAGAUGUUUCUAAAACAUUUCCCUCACUGUGUUUAAUGCAAAGAAAAGCUUCAGUUAUGAAUAUUUGCUUGUCACAUCAACAUCUAAAUGUGCAGGAG